RNAcentral lists this ribosomal RNA (492 nucleotides) under uncultured bacterium. RNAcentral's name for it is "partial 16S ribosomal RNA". It matches the Rfam family "Bacterial small subunit ribosomal RNA", at positions 29 to 507 of the family's 1533-position model. The record is from RNAcentral.
AGUGAACGCUGGCGGUAGGCCUAACACAUGCAAGUCGAACGGCAGCACAGUAAGAGCUUGCUCUUACGGGUGGCGAGUGGCGGACGGGUGAGGAAUACAUCGGAAUCUACUUUUUCGUGGGGGAUAACGUAGGGAAACUUACGCUAUUACCGCAUACGACCUACGGGUGAAAGCAGGGGAUCUUCGGACCUUGCGCGAUUGAAUGAGCCGAUGUCGGAUUAGCUAGUUGGCGGGGUAAAGGCCCGCCAAGGCGACGAUCCGUAGCUGGUCUGAGAGGAUGAUCAGCCACACUGGAACUGAGACACGGUCCAGACUCCUACGGGAGGCAGCAGUGGGGAAUAUUGGACAAUGGGCGCAAGCCUGAUCCAGCCAUACCGCGUGGGUGAAGAAGGCCUUCGGGUUGUAAAGCCCUUUUGUUGGGAAAGAAAAGCAGCAGGUUAAUACCCCGCUGUUCUGACGGUACCCAAAGAAUAAGCACCGGCUAACUUCGUG